RNAcentral lists this long non-coding RNA (1251 nucleotides) under Vulpes vulpes (red fox). RNAcentral's name for it is "lncRNA (ENSVVUG00000018883.1)". The record is from RNAcentral. Lineage: Eukaryota; Metazoa; Chordata; Mammalia; Carnivora; Canidae.
CCAGGAGAUGGGCCAUGCUGCUCACAAGCAUGAUGACCAGUCCAUGCUAUGAACACCUAGAGACAGUUUCUAAAGCAAUUAGCUGGAAGGCUUUCCACCAAAAUGGUUCCAAUUUCUACCCCAAUUGGCAAGAGGGUUUUUCUGGUUUGCCUCAUACAGUGGGGCCAUGGUGUAGCCAACCCAGCAGCCGUGGACUGCUGGCAGCACGUAUUCAGGGGAGCAGGAAUCAAUGACAGAGCAAAGGGGUGUGGAUGGGAAGUGAGAGGCAAUCAGAUAUUGGGAAAUGGAGAGAAUACUGGGUUUGUUUCAGGGGCAUGGACUUCAGUCCUCUGUGUGCACCUUCAUGACAUCUUCACACUAGUACCUGCAGGGCUGAGCUUUGCCUCCUUGUGAUGUGGGGACUUGGAAGCCUCAAACACGAGUCUGGUUCUGAUAUUUUAUGCCUGCCGCUCUGACAAAAUUCGCAGAGAUUAGCCCUGCCCCGGGGCGGGGGGGGGGGAGUUAAAUUAUUACUGAGGUAAAAAGGCUGUGGAAUGGCAUGAUCUUGAGAUUUGGAUUAUCUACUCAUUAUCUGUACCUUGAGGGAUGAAUAUGGGAGACAUGAGUGGGUCUGACAUUGUGUCAAGAGAGGAAGAAAACCAUGAAACGUGAUGGUGUGAGGUAGGCAAUCAUACGCUUUUGAUUACUCGGCAAAAAUGGAUCGUGAAUCUCUGUGAUAGGCGUUGGGGUGACAUUGACGGGAGGGAAGGGAAGGGAGUGGAAAUGAUCAGAAAGGAAGAGAAGGAAUGAAAACACAGUGUGGAAAGGUGGGCCGGAGAUUUUGUGGUUUUGUGAUUUCCAAAGAAUCAAAUUUGUUUCCUAUAGUCGUGAUGGUAGGAUUCAUGCAGAAGGUGGAGGGCUCCAAGGUCAACCAGUAGGACACGUCAGAUCGGAAAGGACAGAGGACACCAUCCUACAGAAUUGAAAAGGAUGUUUUGCACGUCAUGGAGAAUUUUAGUGUAUGAGCCAUGAUGAUUAGAACGUGGUUAAGGUUUCUGGCAGAAAUGUGGAGGAUAAGGAGGAGGUGAGGCUGAAGGGAACAUUAAACAUUAAAUAUUAAUAUUAAAAUUGCAUCACCAGAUCAAAAGUCAACAGUGUGAGAAGUUUAUCUUCAGCUUAGAGCAUGCUGGCCAUGUUGGGCUCCAGGGAAAUAGCAUAGCCUUAAACUAAUGCAUUGCUAAAAAUAAAUGAAGACAGGCAACUUAGCCUUCA